RNAcentral lists this ribosomal RNA (230 nucleotides) under uncultured bacterium. Its description in RNAcentral is "partial 16S ribosomal RNA". It matches the Rfam family "Bacterial small subunit ribosomal RNA", at positions 562 to 791 of the family's 1533-position model. The record is from RNAcentral.
AAAGCGUGCGCAGGCGGUUUUGUAAGACUGUCGUGAAAUCCCCGGGCUCAACCUGGGAAUGGCGAUGGUGACUGCAAGGCUAGAGUUUGGCAGAGGGGGGUAGAAUUCCACGUGUAGCAGUGAAAUGCGUAGAUAUGUGGAGGAACACCGAUGGCGAAGGCAGCCCCCUGGUUCAAAACUGACGCUCAUGCACGAAAGCGUGGGGAGCAAACAGGAUUAGAUACCCGAGU